AAAUGGCCUAUAAAAUACUUGUCAUUCAGUGGCUAAUGGUUUUUUAUAAGUAGUCCUUCAGGGUGUUACUGAGUCAGUUUAUUGACACCAUAAAUGCUUUAUGUUUAAUAAUUAUAGACAAUAAAGAUACUAAAACACUGAAUAUCAUAGACUUGCUAAAGGCUUUCAAUGUUUCACAGUUGAUGUGUUUAUAUAAGUUUGUAGCUCUUUUAAUUAUAUUUAAAGAUGGUAGAAGUGAUGGUCAGCUAUUUAUAAUUGGCAGGAAUAACAAACGUCUUUCACCAAUGUUUUCAAGGUGGCCUUAGACAU
RNAcentral lists this long non-coding RNA (309 nucleotides) under Bos taurus (domestic cattle). RNAcentral's name for it is "long non-coding RNA NONBTAT025905". Lineage: Eukaryota; Metazoa; Chordata; Mammalia; Artiodactyla; Bovidae. The record is from RNAcentral.